This 65-nucleotide ribosomal RNA is filed under the name Endertia spectabilis. RNAcentral's name for it is "partial 26S ribosomal RNA". It matches the Rfam family "Eukaryotic large subunit ribosomal RNA", at positions 1 to 61 of the family's 3401-position model. Lineage: Eukaryota; Viridiplantae; Streptophyta; Magnoliopsida; Fabales; Fabaceae. The record is from RNAcentral.
GAUGCGACCUCAGCUCAGGCGGGGCCACCCGCUGAGUUUAAGCAUAUCAAUAAGCGGAGGAAAAG